RNAcentral lists this transfer RNA (68 nucleotides) under Eogystia hippophaecolus. RNAcentral describes it as "tRNA-Val". Lineage: Eukaryota; Metazoa; Arthropoda; Insecta; Lepidoptera; Cossidae. The record is from RNAcentral.
CAAAUUAGAGCUUGAAAGUAAGUAUUUCAUUUACAUUGAGGGGAUAUUGUUUAUUACAAUUAAUUUGA